Molecule: ribosomal RNA, 851 nt
Filed under: uncultured bacterium
Lineage: Bacteria
Description: bacterial SSU rRNA
Rfam family: Bacterial small subunit ribosomal RNA
Source: RNAcentral
CUGGCGGCGUGCCUAACACAUGCAAGUCGAACGGUAACAGGUCUUCGGAUGCUGACGAGUGGCGCACGGGUGAGUAACGCGUGGAUAUCUGCCUAUUAGUGGGGGACAACUUGUGGAAACGCAAGCUAAUACCGCAUAAUCCCUACGGGGGAAAGCAGGGGACCUUCGGGCCUUGUGCUGAUAGAUGAGUCCGCGUCUGAUUAGCUAGUUGGUAGGGUAAAGGCCUACCAAGGCGAUGAUCAGUAUCUGGUUUGAGAGGAUGAUCAGACACACUGGAACUGAGACACGGUCCAGACUUCUACGGAAGGCAGCAGUGGGGAAUAUUGCACAAUGGGCGCAAGCCUGAUGCAGCGACGCCGCGUGUGGGAAGAAGGCUUUAGGGUUGUAAACCACUUUCAAUUGGGAAGAAGAGAUGAGAGUUAAUAACUUUCUGAUUUGACGGUACCUUUAGAAGAAGCACCGGCUAAUUUCGUGCCAGCAGCCGCGGUAAUACGAAAGGUGCAAGCGUUGUUCGGAUUUACUGGGCGUAAAGAGAGUGUAGGUUGUUUAUUAAGUCGGAUGUGAAAUCCCGGGGCUCAACCUCGGAACUGCAUUCGAUACUGGUAGACUAGAGUUCGGGAGGGGUAAGCGGAAUUCCGUGUGUAGCAGUGAAAUGCGUAGAUAUACGGAGGAACACCUGAGGCGAAGGCGGCUUACUGGACCGAUACUGACACUGAGACUCGAAAGCGUGGGUAGCAAACAGGAUUAGAUACCCUGGUAGUCCACGCCCUAAACGAUGUCAACUAGCCGUUGCGGGUAUCGACCCCUGCAGUGGCGAAGCUAACGCGAUAAGUUGACCGCCUGGGGAGUAC